GCUGUUCUGAGGCAUUAAACAAGAGGAUCGAACAGAUUGCAUUAAUGGAUGGAGAAACCCAGAGUCUGUUACAGAGAGACCCUCUCUCCUUUAUUCAGAACUCGAGGCAGCUUCUUUCCAGAGUGACUACGACUCAGAAAGUCACAUAGCCAGAUGUUCCAAUGAUUACCCUGAAUAUGUCCAAUAUAUCUCAACACCUCCAGAAGG
Molecule: long non-coding RNA, 207 nt
Organism: Rhincodon typus (whale shark)
Lineage: Eukaryota; Metazoa; Chordata; Chondrichthyes; Orectolobiformes; Rhincodontidae
Exons: 3
Source: RefSeq, a predicted model, not a curated record